UGGGGAAUAUUGGACAAUGGGCGAAAGCCUGAUCCAGCCAUGCCGCGUGAGUGAUGAAGGCCUUAGGGUUGUAAAACUCUUUCGCUGGGGAAGAUAAUGACGGUACCCAGUAAAGAAGCCCCGGCUAAUUUCGUGCCAGCAGCCGCGGUAAUACGAAAGGGGCUAGCGUUGUUCGGAAUUACUGGGCGUAAAGCGCGCGUAGGCGGCAUGCCAAGUUGGGGGUGAAAUCCCUGGGCUCAACCCAGGAACUGCCUCCAAAACUGGCAAGCUAGAGGAUGUGAGAGGAUAGUGGAAUUCCGAGUGUAGAGGUGAAAUUCGUAGAUAUUCGGAAGAACACCAGUGGCGAAGGCGACUGUCUGGCACAUUUCUGACGCUGAGGUGCGAAAGCGUGGGGAGCAAACAGGAUUAGAUACCCCCGUAGUCC
RNAcentral lists this ribosomal RNA (424 nucleotides) under uncultured prokaryote. RNAcentral's name for it is "bacterial SSU rRNA". It matches the Rfam family "Bacterial small subunit ribosomal RNA", at positions 355 to 796 of the family's 1533-position model. The record is from RNAcentral.